UACAGGGGGUGCAAACGUUGCUCGGAGUCAUUGGGCGUAAAGCGCACGUAGGCGGUUUGUUAUGUCGGAUGUGAAAGCCCUUGGCUCAACUGAGGAAGUGCAUCCGAAACUGGCAAGCUAGAGUACUAAAGAGGGUCGCGGAAUUCCCGGUGUAGAGGUGAAAUUCGUAGAUAUUCGGAGGAACACCAGUGGCGAAGGCGGCUCACUGGUCCGGUACUGACGCUGAGGUGCGAAGGCGUGGGGAGCAAACAGG
Molecule: ribosomal RNA, 253 nt
Filed under: uncultured bacterium
Lineage: Bacteria
Description: partial 16S ribosomal RNA
Rfam family: Bacterial small subunit ribosomal RNA
Source: RNAcentral